This 1778-nucleotide long non-coding RNA is filed under the name Xyrichtys novacula (pearly razorfish). Lineage: Eukaryota; Metazoa; Chordata; Actinopteri; Labriformes; Labridae. The record is from RNAcentral.
AUGGCAUCUCCAGCAUGUGUUUGCUGUUAGUGCAUAUCUGGUGAGUGAAAAUGGUCUGUUAGCAUUGUAAGAAUUGAAAAGAAUCGAUUUUAACCACAAAAACUGUAUUUUUCUCCAUAAUUACUCUGAAACUAUCAGGUUUGCUAAACUAGCUUAGGUCAAGCGCAGCUGUGUCUCAUUGUUGCAGCCUCAGUCCCAGUGACAUUGUAUAACACUCAGGGUUUGAAAACGUUUAAAGUUGAGUGUUUUGUUAUCGUGGUGGACAUUUGAAUAGACUUAAACAAUAUGGAGGUGUUUUUAAAUGGAUUUACAUUUUGGGGGGAUUCAAAAUAAAAGUAUUGUUCGUAAGUGGUAGGAAGAAACUCCAGAGGGCAGCACUGAGUGUUGAUUUGCCGCUUAAUCUCGAUCAUGACAAGCUGCAGUGGCGCCAUGAGAAUUUGUACUUUUAUUAAUACGAACAAUCAUUCACUUGCUUACCAACUUACUAACCAUUACAAACCAUCAUUUUGUUAAUGUGUAGCACUGAUAUGAAGGUGAUUUUGUAUUAAAUGUAAUAUAUUCUUAUCCAUUUUAUUUCAUGAUAAAAAAACAAGAAUAAAAUGCAACAUAAAUAAUCAUUUUUAUUUGUUUGGGUAAAAAAUAUAUUUAAAUCCAUAUUUAAAUAAACAAAGGUCUAGAUGUAAAAAAAAACAACUAUAGCAAUGAUAGAAAUGAUUAAAUAUAUAUGCUAAUAGUUGUAUGAUAUAACAUUUUAAGUAAUCAUUAAUAUUAUUAUUAUUGUUUAAACAACUAGUUAAAUAUCACCAGUCAAACUUCAAUGUGCAGGAGUUAAUCAAGUUUCUCAGGCAGCAAACAAAUCUGACCACAUAUCAAAACUGACCACCAGGGGGCGCUUUUCUGUAAUGUGCCUAUUGCUUAAUCUAACCGCGUUCUCUUUUUCCACUUCCGGGUCCAGCGGAGUUGUUAUAAUGCCUCAGUGCUAUGUCCCUUGCUGCUUAAACUGAUCAGAGACAAAAACAGCGACUAAACUAUCAUUCUACAGAUUUCCUCCCAACAACAAAGACAACAAAAUAACUUCAUCAUUUCUGUAUUGUAUCCAUAGACUGUAUACAGUCUAUGUUUGUAUCACAAACACACGGCAUCACGUCCAUUCAUUCAUUGAAUUCAAAGCUUCGCGCACCAAAGCCUCGGGGUGUCUUUGGUUUAUCGUUUUACAUUUAUUGUCCACUUGAUGGCGCAAUAGAGCAAAUGAAGCACGAUCAUGAAGCUUCGGCCCAGGAGGCGAGUAAUUGGAUGGAAAGCUUCGAUGCUUCAUGAGGCUUUAUCUCGCCAUCACUAAAAUUUACGUUAAUAACUCUAUCCGAGUUGAAAGCUUUAAGUCCCUUUUUAACUCUGAGUGGUUCCCUUCUGAAAACGGAGGUUAUUUUAAAGAGAUUCACGGGUUCUGCCAUUGUUGUUUUGAAUGGAGAGUGAAUGGAGGCUGAUUCCCCAUGGACCCGGAAGCCGCUCCGCUCACAAAAUGACGUCACGCUUAACAGCCGGAUUGCUUAAUCUAACUGGGUCCUUAACUCCAGAUCCUGAUGUCUUCUAGUCCUUGUGUUUGAUCCUCAGGUGUAUGCGAGAGGACUGGAGACUCAGCGCUUCAUGGGAUCUGGAGACGACAGCCUGGUAGAGUUGCGUUGUUGGCUCAGAGUUUCAGGGUCUUCAGUCCCUGAUAGUGCUGUUGAUGUUUUCAGCACCUGUAGUGUUCGUUUUUAAUGUAACACUCCAGUCCAGUG